Molecule: unclassified non-coding RNA, 282 nt
Filed under: rhizosphere metagenome
Description: partial ribosomal RNA internal transcribed spacer region
Source: RNAcentral
GUAGGUGAACCUGCGGAAGGAUCAUUAUCGAGUUUUUGAACGGGUUGUAGCUGACCUCUCACGAGGUACGUGCACACCUGGCUCAUUCCACUCUCAACCCCUGUGCACUUCUCGUAGGAGGAUUAAUUGUCAGACGGAGAGCUGAUUGCAAAGUCGGUUUACAAGUCUUUCGAUAUCCUUUCCUAUGUUUUUACUACAAACGCUUCAGUUACAGAAUGUCUUACUUUGCGUACAACGCAUUUUAAAUAUAUACAACUUUCAACAACGGAUCUCUUGGCUCUC